UACGUAGGGGGCUAGCGUUGUCCGGAUUUAUUGGGCGUAAAGAGCGUGUAGGCGGCCAGGUAGGUCUGGUGUGAAAACUCGAGGCUUAACCUCGAGAUGUCAUCGGAAACCAUCUGGCUAGAGUCCGGAAGAGGAGAGUGGAAUUCCUGGUGUAGCGGUGAAAUGCGCAGAUAUCAGGAGGAACACCGGUGGCGAAGGCGGAUCUCUGGGCCAUUACUGACGCUGAGGAGCGAAAGCGUGGGGAGCGAACAGG
RNAcentral lists this ribosomal RNA (253 nucleotides) under uncultured bacterium. RNAcentral describes it as "partial 16S ribosomal RNA". It matches the Rfam family "Bacterial small subunit ribosomal RNA", at positions 524 to 776 of the family's 1533-position model. The record is from RNAcentral.